CAAAAACAUGUCUUUUUGAUUAUAAUUUAAAGUCUAACCUGCCCAAUGAGGAGUUAAAUGGCCGCGGUAUUUUGACCGUGCAAAGGUAGCAUAAUCAUUAGUUUUUUAAUUGAAAGCUGGUAUGAAUGGUUGGACGAGAAAAUAACUGUCUCGAUUUAAGUUAAAUUAGAAUUUUAUUUAUGAGUAAAAAAGCUCAUAUGAGUUUAAAAGACGAGAAGACCCUAUAGAAUUUAAUAUAUGUAUAUAUAUAUUAUUUUUAGAAUUGAUAAUAAGUUAUAUAUAAUUAUAUUUUGUUGGGGUGAUAGAAAAAUUUAAAUAACUUUUUUUAUAUAAAAACAUUAAUGUAUGAAAAAAUGAUCCGUUAAUUACGAUUAUAAGAUUAAAUUACCUUAGGGAUAACAGCGUAAUUUUUUUUUAGAGUUCUUAUCGAAAAAAGAGUUUGCGACCUCGAUGUUGGAUUAAAAUUAACUUUUGGUGUAGGGGCU
This 485-nucleotide ribosomal RNA is filed under the name Xylotrupes ulysses. RNAcentral describes it as "partial large subunit ribosomal RNA". It matches the Rfam family "Bacterial large subunit ribosomal RNA", at positions 1808 to 2563 of the family's 2925-position model. The record is from RNAcentral. Lineage: Eukaryota; Metazoa; Arthropoda; Insecta; Coleoptera; Scarabaeidae.